UACAGAGGUCUCAAGCGUUGUUCGGCUUCAUUGGGCGUAAAGGGUGCGUAGGUGGCGCCGUAAGUCGGGUGUGAAAUUUCGGAGCUUAACUCCGAAACUGCAUUCGAUACUGCGGUGCUUGAGGACUGGAGAGGAGACUGGAAUUCAUGGUGUAGCAGUGAAAUGCGUAGAGAUCAUGAGGAAGACCAGUGGCGAAGGCGGGUCUCUGGACAGUUCCUGACACUGAGGCACGAAGGCCAGGGGAGCAAACGGG
RNAcentral lists this ribosomal RNA (253 nucleotides) under uncultured bacterium. RNAcentral describes it as "partial 16S ribosomal RNA". It matches the Rfam family "Bacterial small subunit ribosomal RNA", at positions 524 to 776 of the family's 1533-position model. The record is from RNAcentral.